UACGAAGGGGGCUAGCGUUGCUCGGAAUUACUGGGCGUAAAGCGCACGUAGGCGGCUUUUUAAGUCGGGGGUGAAAUCCUGGAGCUCAACUCCAGAACUGCCUUCGAUACUGGAAAGCUCGAGUCCGGGAGAGGUGAGUGGAACUGCGAGUGUAGAGGUGAAAUUCGUAGAUAUUGGGAAGAACACCGGUGGCGAAGGCGGCGCUCUGGACCGAGACUGACGCUGAGGCGCGAAAGCGUGGGAGCA
This 246-nucleotide ribosomal RNA is filed under the name uncultured bacterium. RNAcentral's name for it is "partial 16S ribosomal RNA". It matches the Rfam family "Bacterial small subunit ribosomal RNA", at positions 524 to 770 of the family's 1533-position model. The record is from RNAcentral.